RNAcentral lists this ribosomal RNA (497 nucleotides) under uncultured bacterium. RNAcentral describes it as "partial 16S ribosomal RNA". It matches the Rfam family "Bacterial small subunit ribosomal RNA", at positions 28 to 507 of the family's 1533-position model. The record is from RNAcentral.
GAUGAACGCUGGCGGCGUGCCUAAUACAUGCAAGUCGAGCGAACAGACGAGGAGCUUGUUCCUCUGACGUUAGCGGCGGACGGGUGAGUAACACGUGGAUAACCUACCUAUAAGACUGGGAUAACUUCGGGAAACCGGAGCUAAUACCGGAUAAUAUAUUGAACCGCAUGGUUCAAUAGUGAAAGACGGUUUUGCUGGCACUUAUAGAUGGAUCCGCGCCGCAUUAGCUAGUUGGUAAGGUAACGGCUUACCAAGGCGACGAUGCGUAGCCGACCUGAGAGGGUGAUCGGCCACACUGGAACUGAGACACGGUCCAGACUCCUACGGGAGGCAGCAGUAGGGAAUCUUCGGCAAUGGGCGCAAGCCUGACGGAGCAAUGCCGCGUGAGUGAUGAAGGUCUUCGGAUCGUAAAACUCUGUUAUUAGGGAAGAAAAAAUGUGUAAGUAACUAUGCACGUCUUGACGGUACCGAAUCAGAAAGCCACGGCUAACUACGUG